This 449-nucleotide ribosomal RNA is filed under the name uncultured bacterium. RNAcentral's name for it is "partial 16S ribosomal RNA". It matches the Rfam family "Bacterial small subunit ribosomal RNA", at positions 29 to 523 of the family's 1533-position model. The record is from RNAcentral.
AAUGAACGCUGGCGGCAUGCCUAACACAUGCAAGUCGAACGAAGGCUUCGGCCUUAGUGGCGCACGGGUGCGUAACGCGUGGGAAUCUGCCCUCAGGUUCGGAAUAACAGCGAGAAAUUGCUGCUAAUACCGGAUGAUAUCGCGAGAUCAAAGAUUUAUCGCCUGAGGAUGAGCCCGCGUAGGAUUAGCUAGCCGGUGUGGUAAAGGCGCACCAAGGCGACGAUCCUUAGCUGGUCUGAGAGGAUGAUCAGCCACACUGGGACUGAGACACGGCCCAGACUCCUACGGGAGGCAGCAGUGGGGAAUAUUGGACAAUGGGCGAAAGCCUGAUCCAGCAAUGCCGCGUGAGUGAUGAAGGCCUUAGGGUUGUAAAGCUCUUUUACCCGGGAUGAUAAUGACAGUACCGGGAGAAUAAGCUCCGGCUAACUCCGUGCCAGCCGCCGCUGUAA